This 170-nucleotide ribosomal RNA is filed under the name uncultured bacterium. RNAcentral's name for it is "partial 16S ribosomal RNA". It matches the Rfam family "Bacterial small subunit ribosomal RNA", at positions 338 to 524 of the family's 1533-position model. The record is from RNAcentral.
CCUACGGGAGGCAGCAGUGGGGGAUAUUGCACAAUGGAGGAAACUCUGAUGCAGCGACUGCCGCGUGAGCGAAGAAGUAUUUCGGUAUGUAAAGCUCUAUCAGCAGGGAAGAUAAUGACGGUACCUGACUAAGAAGCUCCGGCUAAAUACGUGCCAGCCGCCGCGGUAAU